ACUAAAACCCUAACUUGGGGAAAAACAAAAAAUCCCCUUUGGAUUUUCUUCAGCCAUGGCUCUCCUCCUCCGCCUGAGAACACGAACCACAACCCCCUCUUUAACAACCCCUUCUCCAUUCCACCACCGCCUCAUUUCCCCCACCCCCCCCCCGCCUCAUUUCCACCUCCAGCUCCGGCGGCGGCGACGACGACGACCCCAAAUCCAAAUCUCCAUUCGCAUCCUAUUUCAGAGACGUCAGGGACAAACUCAAGCAACGCCCACCCCCNNNNNNN
RNAcentral lists this long non-coding RNA (275 nucleotides) under Lotus japonicus. RNAcentral describes it as "long non-coding RNA (LJAP_LNC000451)". Lineage: Eukaryota; Viridiplantae; Streptophyta; Magnoliopsida; Fabales; Fabaceae. The record is from RNAcentral.